CACUUUCUCAGACUUUCCUUGUUUUUGAUGACAUUGACAUUUUUGAGGAGUACUCGUCAGAAGUGACACAGAGAUGCUGAAAUUGCUCCCUUCUCACUCCACUGGACAGAAGUGGUCACAUGGCCCCACCUCACAACACAGCUGGGAGGACUGGUCUUCCCACAUGCCCAGGAAAGAGAGGCCCAGUGUGCACACAGCUGCCCUGAUGACCUGCUGGAGGGAUCUGGAAUGGGCCUGCUGCUUCAUCGACCUCUCAGCAAGAAGCCCCCUCACUGGGUGAACCACUGAGCACCUUCGCAUCCUUUAAGGCUCUGCUCAGCCACCCUGUUCUCUGAAAAUGCUCCCUGAGCCCCCUAGGCAGAGGGCCAUUUGCCAUUGUGGUCAUUCCACAGGUUGCUAUGAAGGCGUACUCAUCAAGGAAGAAAGGCAGAACAUGUUAUUUAGCAAUUCCUUCACCUGAUUCAGUAUUUCCAAGUAUUUGGACAUGUGGUUCAUGGGCUUCCAUUUGUACUCUUGUAAUCGCAGAACCAGCUCAACUACCCCCAUCUCUCAUCAACAGAGUGAUUAAGAAUUGUCUUUCAGAAAAUCUGCAAUGUCACAUAGCCAGGGCAUGCACAAAAGAAAAAAUCUUGACCUGAAAUGACCAUGGAACCAAAGAUCCUCCUCCCCAUGGAAUCCAAGGACCUGGAUAAGACUGGAACUUGAAAGUCCGACUCUUCUCAGAAGUGAGGGGUCCCUCAUUCAGGAAGAUUCUGCGUUAAAAUCCCUUUCAUACCUCAACAAAAAUGUUUAGAACCCCAUCAUAAAUGUUUAGAACCUUACCAUAAAUGUUUGAAGACCACCGUCAAAACCUGUCCCACCAGUGUUUCCACAUUCCAGCCUAUUCUCCCUAACAUCUUAAAUAUCA
RNAcentral lists this long non-coding RNA (907 nucleotides) under Equus caballus (horse). RNAcentral describes it as "lncRNA (ENSECAG00000053372.1)". Lineage: Eukaryota; Metazoa; Chordata; Mammalia; Perissodactyla; Equidae. The record is from RNAcentral.